This 2261-nucleotide long non-coding RNA is filed under the name Zea mays. RNAcentral describes it as "long non-coding RNA (ZMAY_LNC001869)". The record is from RNAcentral. Lineage: Eukaryota; Viridiplantae; Streptophyta; Magnoliopsida; Poales; Poaceae.
UGAACAUUCAUGACCAGACAAAAGAUAGACAACUCAGCCCACCAAACUAAACAGUUCAACUACCAUGAAAGAUUAGAAUGUAAUAAUCCCCUAGACUUGACCCUCCCUAUUUAACAUCAUUAUUAAGCAGUGGUUCCUUUAUUUAAAAGUGUGGUGGUCGUGCUGCUACAUCCCUUCUUUCCCAAAGCAAAGAUCAGGUGCCUGCAUCAGACAACGCAAGAGUGAGAUGACACAUCUCAGCAAGUAAAAAAACAAACAACAGUUGGACAAUGUAAGCCAACCGUGCAUAAGCAACCACGUGGUUCCCAACUUCUUUCUUAAAUAUUAAUUUGCAGCAAGUAAGCAAGUAUUCAAUUACUCAAUGCCAAGAUGAAUCACAAAGUAAAGAUCCACAUUAUCCACAUCACCAUAAUAGGUUCCACACUUCCCCCAUGAAUGCACAUGGCUACAGAUGCAGUAUGACUUCUGCCUUCAUACCUCUAAAGAUAUGAAGCUGCAUCAUACCCCUUCUUGGGCAACAUAUGAUGCUCAUUGUACAGGUACGGUCGGACCAUAAGAUCAUGACAAAACUUCAAUGCAAUGGAUGAUGAAUGCAUUAUGCAUGUCAACAACAUGAGUUCUUCCCAAAUAAAAUGUGCUAGACAUAUACUUCCACCUAUUUCACAUAAUAAACCACAUGGGUAACAUGAUCAAACCACAACCUCCACAUGUAUAAUAAAUAAACAUGAUUAACUUCAAACGACAGUACCCAAUUAGGAAUAUGAAUACGAACACAAAUAGCACAAACAUAAUCAAGUAUAAGACUCUUCAAUUAACAGACGGAAUAACCAUCACUGUUUUACUUGCCUUCACCGGAAGUUUGGGCAAAUCCCUAAGUACGAUCCGGAAGUCCACCACCUGUUUUUGACACACAACUUAGUGCACCAAUUUCACACAAUCAGGCUCAUAAACGACGCCGCACCUACGCAAAAUCUCAAACCCCGCCGCGGAUAACAUCUCUCCCCACACCCACCAAACUGCAGCGGCGCUGCUUAAUAAUUUCAUAACUUUAAAAUUAUGACAACACUGGUAACAAACAAAAACUCCAGAGGCAUCUACAUAAAAUUCCCCACAAGUUUUGUAUACAAUUUAUAAUUAAAUUCCAACAUAUAAUUAGCCCAAAACAGUACACAAGAUAAACCCUGUAAUCUGUUUUUUUCUCUUUUGGACAGCGACAUACCCGGAUUCAAACAGCGAUAUCUUUUAAAAUAUAAUUUCAAAUCAAGCGCAUAAGUACUCAUUGAAAAGAUAAGACAAAACCCUACAUAAUUAUCAUACUGGUUAUCAUUAAUUACCCACGAAAAAUUUCCAGAAACUGCUAAUACUACUGUUGUUCACCCACCUGAAAAAUCUGUUUUUUGGACAGCAACAUACCCCGAUUCAAACAGCGAUAUCUUUUAAAAUAUAAUUUCAAAUCAAGCGCAUAAGUACUCAUUGGAAAGAUAAGACAAAUCCCUACAUGACUAUCAUACUGGUUAUCACUAAUUACCCACGAAAAAUGCCCAGAAACUGCUAAUACUACUCCUGUUCACCCACCUGAAAAAUCUGUUUUUUAGACAGCAACAUACCCGGAUUCAAUCAGCGAUAUCUUUUAAAAUAUAAUUCCAAAUCAAGCGCAUAAGUACUCAUUGGAAAGAUAAGACAAAGCCCUACAUGAUUAUCAUACUGGUUAUCACUAAUUACCCACGAAAAAUUCCCAGAAACUGCUAAUUCUACUGCUGUUCACCCACCUGAAAAAUCUGUUUUUUUUUUGGACAGCAACAUACCCGGAUUCAAACAACGAUAUCUCCUAAAUUAUAACUCCGAAUCGAGGGAAUAAGUACUCGUUGGAAAGGUAUGACAAAGCUCUACAUGAUUAUCCCACUGAUUCCCACUAAUUAACCCACAAAAAUUCCCAGAAAUCCCUAGAACUACUGCUAUCCACCCACUCACAAAAAUCCUGGACAGCACCUCUACCGAUUCGCAAAGAUAAACGCAUAAUCCAAUUGAUUGCAGCACAAAAACAACAAAAGUUAAACACAAAUUCACCUUGGGUUCUUCCCUUCCUCCUUCCUUCUUCCUCCCUCCAAACUCCAUUGAGAUCGCAGCCACACGACGGAGAACCACGCGGGAGGGCUGCACCUUGGAGGGGGGAAGAGAAAUGGGGGAGGGCAGCUAGGGUUUUGGAUGGUGAGGGCUGCAAAGGUUUGAGGAGGAAGAAGAUGGGAGAGGGGAGGGGGUGG